Molecule: ribosomal RNA, 253 nt
Filed under: uncultured bacterium
Lineage: Bacteria
Description: partial 16S ribosomal RNA
Rfam family: Bacterial small subunit ribosomal RNA
Source: RNAcentral
UACGGAGGGUGCAAGCGUUAAUCGGGAUUACUGGGCGUAAAGCGCACGCAGGCGGGUUGUUAAGUCAGAUGUGAAAUCCCCGGGCUCAACCUGGGAAUUGCAUUUGAUACUGGGAGUCUAGAGUCUUUUAGAGCGGGGUAGAAUUCCACGUGUAGCGGUGAAAUGCGUAGAGAUGUGGAGGAAUACCGAAGGCGAAGGCAGCCCCGUGGAAAUGUACUGACGCUCAUGUGCGAAAGCGUGGGGAGCAAACAGG